AUGUGAUCGUCUCUCGCAUAUCAAUAAGCGGAGGAAAAGAAACUAACAAGGAUUCCCCUAGUAACGGCGAGUGAAGCGGGAAGAGCUCAAAUUUGAAAUCUUAAAGGGUUUCCCUUUACGAAUUGUAGUUUAAAGAAGUGUUUUCUGUUGAGGUUUUGGUAAAAGUUCUCUGGAAUAGGACAUCAUAGAGGGUGAGAAUCCCGUAUUUGACCUUUACUUUCAACUUUGUGAUACACUUUCAAAGAGUCGGAUUGUUUGGGAAUGCAGUCCAAAAUGGGUGGUAAAUUUCAUCUAAAGCUAAAUAUUGGCGAGAGACCGAUAGCGAACAAGUACCGUGAGGGAAAGAUGAAAAGAACUUUGAAAAGAGAGUUAAACAGUACGUGAAAUUGUCAAAAGGGAAGCGUUUGACACCAGUGUUGUUUUUCUGAAAAUCAAUUAAAGAACUGUUUAUGCUAAGUUGUUUAGACUUUAUCAGCUAACUGUUUAGUUUUGAGCUUUUCUUUAAUGCACUUUUCAGUUAACAAGUCAACAUCAAUUUCUUUUGCUGUAAAAAAGCUUGAGGAAGGUGGCUUGAGAUUCGUCUUAAGUGUUUAUAGCCUCUUGCCUAUGCAGUCGGAGAGAUUGAGGUCUGCAGCGUAGAUCCUUCGGGGCUAAAUGCAUUUGUGCUAAGUUAUAGCAUUUUAUAGACAACUUGUUGACUAUGAUUUGUCUUGUAGCUUACUCGCUUAUGUUAUUUUACCUACGCUUAGGAUGUUGACACACGCGCGUGCUCG
Molecule: ribosomal RNA, 773 nt
Filed under: uncultured Neocallimastigales
Lineage: Eukaryota; Fungi; Neocallimastigomycota; Neocallimastigomycetes; Neocallimastigales
Description: partial large subunit ribosomal RNA
Rfam family: Eukaryotic large subunit ribosomal RNA
Source: RNAcentral